GAUGAACGCUGGCGGCGCGCCUAACACAUGCAAGUCGAACGGUAAAAGCAUCUUCGGGUGUGUUUAAGGUGGGGGACGGGCGAGUGACACAGGGGCAAACCGCACCCUUCAUUUUGGUAGGCAAGGAAGAAGGUGGAUAUAACCGAAUACUUCAAGACUUCCGCGGGGGAGAGUAGGGGAAGUUCCGGCCGGGCGGGAUUGGACCGCGGGCUGUUGGCUUGUUGGUUGGGUAACGGCCUAGCCAGGCAAUGCAGGGUAGCCCGGAUGGGAGGUCGAGCAGCCACAUGGGGACUGAGACACGGCCCAGACUCCUACGGGAGGCAGCAGUGGGGAAUCUUGCACAAUGGGCGAAAGCCUGAUGCAGCGACGCCGCGUGCGGGAUGAAGGCCUUCGGGUUGUAAACCGCUUUCAGCAGGGACGACGCGAUAGUGACGGUACCUGAAGAAGAAGCCCCGGCUAACUACGUG
Molecule: ribosomal RNA, 467 nt
Filed under: uncultured bacterium
Lineage: Bacteria
Description: partial 16S ribosomal RNA
Rfam family: Bacterial small subunit ribosomal RNA
Source: RNAcentral